CCAGACUCCUACGGGAGGCAGCAGUGAGGAAUAUUGGUCAAUGGUCGGGAGACUGAACCAGCCAAGCCGCGUGAGGGAUGAAGGUACAGGGUAUCGUAAACCUCUUUUGUCAGGGAACAAAGGCGGGGACGUGUCCCCGGAUGAGUGUACCUGAAGAAAAAGCAUCGGCUAACUCCGUGCCAGCAGCCGCGGUAAUACGGAGGAUGCGAGCGUUAUCCGGAUUUAUUGGGUUUAAAGGGUGCGUAGGCGGGCUGUUAAGUCAGCGGUCAAAUGUCGGGGCUCAACCCCGGCCUGCCGUUGAAACUGACGGUCUUGAGUGGGCGAGAAGUAUGCGGAAUGCGUGGUGUAGCGGUGAAAUGCAUAGAUAUCACGCAGAACUCCGAUUGCGAAGGCAGCAUACCGGCGCCCAACUGACGCUGAAGCACGAAAGCGUGGGUAUCGAACAGGAUUAGAUACCCGAGUA
RNAcentral lists this ribosomal RNA (463 nucleotides) under uncultured bacterium. RNAcentral's name for it is "bacterial SSU rRNA". It matches the Rfam family "Bacterial small subunit ribosomal RNA", at positions 331 to 792 of the family's 1533-position model. The record is from RNAcentral.